CGGACGGGUGAGUAAUGCUUGGGAAUCUGGCUUAUGGAGGGGGAUAACUACGGGAAACUGUAGCUAAUACCGCGUAAUAUCUUCGGAUUAAAGGGUGGGACUUUCGGGCCACCUGCCAUAAGAUGAGCCCAAGUGGGAUUAGGUAGUUGGUGGGGUAAAGGCCUACCAAGCCGACGAUCUCUAGCUGGUCUGAGAGGAUGACCAGCCACACUGGAACUGAGACACGGUCCAGACUCCUACGGGAGGCAGCAGUGGGGAAUAUUGCACAAUGGGGGGAACCCUGAUGCAGCCAUGCCGCGUGAAUGAAGAAGGCCUUCGGGUUGUAAAGUUCUUUCGGUGAUGAGGAAGGUGUUUGUUUUAAUAGAGCAAGCAAUUGACGUUAGUCACAGAAGAAGCACCGGCUAACUCCGUGCCAGCAGCCGCGGUAAUACGGAGGGUGCGAGCGUUAAUCGGAAUGACUGGGCGUAAAGGGCACGCAGGCGGUGACUUAAGUGAGAUGUGAAAGCCCCGAGCUUAACUUGGGAAUUGCAUUUCAUACUGGGUCGCUAGAGUACUUUAGGGAGGGGUAGAAUUCCACGUGUAGCGGUGAAAUGCGUAGAGAUGUGGAGGAAUACCGAAGGCGAAGGCAGCCCCUUGGGAAUGUACUGACGCUCAUGUGCGAAAGCGUGGGGAGCAAACAGGAUUAGAUACCCUGGUAGUCCACGCUGUAAACGCUGUCGAUUUGGGGAUUGGGCUUUAAGCUUGGUGCCCGUAGCUAACGUGAUAAAUCGACCGCCUGGGGAGUACGGC
This 789-nucleotide ribosomal RNA is filed under the name uncultured Actinobacillus sp. Its description in RNAcentral is "bacterial SSU rRNA". It matches the Rfam family "Bacterial small subunit ribosomal RNA", at positions 99 to 886 of the family's 1533-position model. The record is from RNAcentral. Lineage: Bacteria; Pseudomonadati; Pseudomonadota; Gammaproteobacteria; Pasteurellales; Pasteurellaceae.